RNAcentral lists this non-coding RNA (80 nucleotides) under Gongylonema pulchrum. RNAcentral describes it as "Eukaryotic large subunit ribosomal RNA". It matches the Rfam family "Eukaryotic large subunit ribosomal RNA", at positions 24 to 103 of the family's 3401-position model. Lineage: Eukaryota; Metazoa; Nematoda; Chromadorea; Rhabditida; Gongylonematidae. The record is from Rfam by way of RNAcentral.
CCCGCUGAAUUUAAGCAUAAAACUAAGCGGAGGAGAAGAAACUAACGAGGAUUCCUCGAGUAACGGCGAGUGAAUGGGAA